UAUCUGAUAAGUACUUAGCCAUAAGUAUAUAAGUAUCUGAUUGGGCCAUUACUUAGAUUAUAAGGUUUUAAAUUGGCAUUUUCAAUAUUCUAGUGGGCCAAUGAAAUCUCCAGUCAACUACGCUCAAUUCAUUCAGAUGAAGUUGACAAACGUGAGAACUUCCUGACCCUAUUUGAAGGACAUUCAUUAAAGGACCUCUUUCCUGGACUAGAAGAUGUAACUUCUCCCUUUGCAACCCGUUGACACCAAACUACCCAAGGUUUUAAAUUGGCAUUUACAAUAUUCCAACGGGCCAAUGAAAUCACCAUCCAACAACGCUCAGUUUAUACAGAAGAAAUGGUCAGACGCCAGAAUUUCUAGACCCUAUUGGAAGGACAUAUAUUAAAGGACCUCUUCCCUGGAGUAGAAGAUGUCCCUUCUUCCUUUGUAACCCAGGCUACAGAGCCGUUUGACAGAAACUACCCAAGUGCUGAAGAAUGAGAGCGGAAGAAAUGAAGUGGAAAAAAAUGACACUCCAACUAUGAGUUUAAGCGACUCACAUAUUUCCUGGCUUCAACUCUUGAGGAAACUAAUGCAAGCAACACAUCAGUAGCCUAUAUGAGCUUGAAAGAAGUUUAAUGGAAAACAAGCCAAAAGACGAAGAAGAAAGUUUAAUCACUGCUGCAAAAAUAGGAGCAGCACUAUUAGAAGAAAACAAAAUAAUAAAAGAAAAAAUUUACAAAUAUAA
This is a long non-coding RNA of Homalodisca vitripennis (glassy-winged sharpshooter), 727 nucleotides long. RefSeq lists it as uncharacterized. The record is from RefSeq and is a predicted model, not a curated record. The transcript has 3 exons. Lineage: Eukaryota; Metazoa; Arthropoda; Insecta; Hemiptera; Cicadellidae.